UACGUAGGGUGCGAGCGUUGUCCGGAUUUAUUGGGCGUAAAGCGAGCGCAGGUGGUUUAUUAAGUCUGGUGUAAAAGGCAGUGGCUCAACCAUUGUAUGCAUUGGAAACUGGUAGACUUGAGUGCAGGAGAGGAGAGUGGAAUUCCAUGUGUAGCGGUGAAAUGCGUAGAUAUAUGGAGGAACACCGGUGGCGAAAGCGGCUCUCUGGCCUGUAACUGACACUGAGGCUCGAAAGCGUGGGGAGCAAACAGG
Molecule: ribosomal RNA, 252 nt
Filed under: uncultured microorganism
Description: partial 16S ribosomal RNA
Rfam family: Bacterial small subunit ribosomal RNA
Source: RNAcentral